UACGUAUGGUGCAAGCGUUAUCCGGAUUUACUGGGUGUGAAGGGAGCGCAGGCGGCACGGCAAGCCUGAUGUGAAAGCCCGCGGCCCAACCGCGGGACUGCAUUGGGAACUACCGGGCUGGAGUGCCGGAGAGGUAGGCGGAAUCCCUAGUGUAGCGGUGAAAUGCGUAGAUAUUAGGAGGAACACCAGUGGCGAAGGCGGCUUACUGGACGGCAACUGACGCUGAGGCUCGAAAGCGUGGGGAGCAAACAGG
RNAcentral lists this ribosomal RNA (253 nucleotides) under uncultured bacterium. RNAcentral describes it as "partial 16S ribosomal RNA". It matches the Rfam family "Bacterial small subunit ribosomal RNA", at positions 524 to 776 of the family's 1533-position model. The record is from RNAcentral.